RNAcentral lists this ribosomal RNA (495 nucleotides) under uncultured bacterium. RNAcentral's name for it is "partial 16S ribosomal RNA". It matches the Rfam family "Bacterial small subunit ribosomal RNA", at positions 28 to 507 of the family's 1533-position model. The record is from RNAcentral.
GACGAACGCUGGCGGCAUGCCUAAUACAUGCAAGUAGAACGCUGAAGGAGGAGCUUGCUUCUCUGGAUGAGUUGCGAACGGGUGAGUAACGCGUAGGUAACCUGCCUGGUAGCGGGGGAUAACUAUUGGAAACGAUAGCUAAUACCGCAUAAGAGUAGAUGUUGCAUGACAUUUGCUUAAAAGGUGCAAUUGCAUCACUACCAGAUGGACCUGCGUUGUAUUAGCUAGUUGGUGGGGUAACGGCUCACCAAGGCGACGAUACAUAGCCGACCUGAGAGGGUGAUCGGCCACACUGGGACGGAGACACGGCCCAGACUCCUACGGGAGGCAGCAGUAGGGAAUCUUCGGCAAUGGACGGAAGUCUGACCGAGCAACGCCGCGUGAGUGAAGAAGGGUUUCGGAUCGUAAAGCUCUGUUGUAAGAGAAGAACGAGUGUGAGAGUGGAAAGUUCACACUGUGACGGUAUCUUACCAGAAAGGGACGGCUAACUACGUG